AGUAAUGAACCCUGCAUAUUACAGAAAAAGCAUAAAACAGUUUAAAACGAAAGCGAAAAGUGUUACGAAAGGUCAACUGAAAGCAGUACUAGGACUAAUAGAAAAGGUCACAGUAGUCAGAAAGUGCUGAUAACGUGAGAAAGGUCACCACGUUACAGUGAUAGAAAAGGCAGCAGGAGCUAGGAAAGUCUCAGCUCAGUAACGGAAUAGGCGUAAAAAUGAUAGAAAGCCUUAACAUGGAAAGGAUUAACGUCGAAAAGGUUACUAUGAUGGAUUGUUUUAUAAUUGCAGAUUGAAGAGAAAGAUGGCACAAAAAGGUCAAGCCCCUUCUAAACGUUCGGGAAUGGCGGCAGACAUCGAUCAGUUUACGGGCUAUAAUCCAAAGUGUCCGGACUGCUUAAGGAACAACAAAAAGGUUGACAAGAAAUUCCCUUGCUACACUUGUAUUCACAAGCUGGAAGACCCACAUACCGUCACGCUUGUUGGGAUCAUGGAAGCCAAACGUGGGAACUUGGACGUUUUUCGAAAUCUCAUAAGCGCAAGAAAUUACGGCAGCAUCCCAGUAGAAGAGCGAAUGCUAUUCGAAGAUCGUUACCGAGAAGCGAUCCGAAACAACGAACCUGGCUGGGAUGACACCUUGGAGCCGUUGAAGUGUCCACAGACAGACGCGUAUCGGAAGAAAUUUGAAGAAGACCAAGCGAAGAUGCGAGCUCAGCAGAUGGAAGACGAAAUCCGCGCGAAAAUUAAUGCGGAAAAUAAGAGAGCAAGUGAACAGGCUGCACGAGAGGGGCUGCCCAGCACAUCGAGUUUAGUUGCACCUACGGGCAUGGCCAGCCUUAACGAAGACGAAAUGCAACUUGUACGACAAUCACUUAUCAUACAAAUUGAAACGAUAACGAAAGAUCCAGCUGCCAUGUCAGACGAGGUAUUCAAAUGCUGUUGCGGGAGAAGAAACGACUUCAAGACGGGUUCGCGCCGGCACCCUACAUAAAGAAGGAAGUCGAAAGACGUAUGGAUGACCUACGUAAAUCUCGCCGAACCGAAAGCGAUGUGCUGCAGGCAUUAAGAAAUGUUAAACGGGACGAAGGCUUUAUACGACCACGUUCGCCCCCGCAUAGAGAAAGGUCACGCGGACAUUCACGAGAAUAUGAGCGAACUUCUGAACGACAGAGAGAAAGGUCACGCGAACACUCUCGUGAAAGGACACGUGACUACCGCAACGAAAGGUCACGCGAACGUUCUCAUGAUAGAGAUUACCGUGGCGGAAGAGGAUGGGUGCGCCAUGGAGACGAAGUUACGGAAAUGAGUAUUCAAAAACGGCGUGCGGAGACGUUCCGUGCAGAGCCUGAAAAACAAGGGCAUCAGGUGCCGAUGGGAGUUGCAUUCCGGAACCGCAAUGUCAGGAUGUCAACACCCGAAAGGUCAUGGGAUAAAAGACGUGAACAUACGCGAAAUCGAACGCCUGACCCACAGGAUAAGAGAUGGCAACAGAGAGCCGCAUUUUAUGCGACCUUUGACUCGGGCGCAAGUAAAAGGUCAUCAAGCACUGAACGAGAAGAUUCACCCCCAAAGUAUCAGCGGGUGGAGUCAGUGGUUCACGUUGUGGAAAUGGAAGGGACCAGCUCGAUUGCGGAAACGUCUCAAGAGAACGUGACCCAUCGACGAAAUGUAAUUCUGGAUAGUGACCUCCAACCGGAACAACCGGCGAGUAACGAACCGUCGCAGCCUGAGUCGGGAGAGCGACGGGAACCAGAAGGUCAACGAGAACCGGAUAAUCAUCGCCGGGCUGAUCAGCGACAGAACUCCAGAUUUGACAACCGACGUCCUGAAAGUAUCGACAUGGAAUACAAGACGACUGAUAUUGAUGAGCAAACGGUCGAAAUUUGUCGAUACUUUGGACUUGAGCCGGAUUCGGUUGAAGCCAACAAAAUUGGCACAAUUCUGAGACAGUUGAGCCAAUUCUUACUUGAUUCGGGAUACGCGAGAGAGAUUAAACAAGGAGUCGAACAAGGACUUUUCCGUCGUUUAUUCAUCCACCGCGAUUCAGUACGGGACUGUUAUCUCCCUAUCAGACGGAAUGGGCUACACAGUUUGGUGGAUUUAAGUUUAUUGGAUGUACCGCUGGACACAACUGACCCAAUCGGGAUGACACAGUUCUACUACAGAGACUAUCCCGAACGCCAAGAAUACGUGGCUCAGUUUGUUCUACGACAUGUGAAUCCAGCUUUCAAGUUGCUUGCAGCAAGGGCAUCGAUAGGACUACAGGUGGAUCCUAAGGACUAUGCCGCAAAAAGGAUGGGGCAAAAGGUCUUUGCUGCGAGACUGGCACAUUACAAGACACAAAAUCAAUUGGUGUCUAAUACCAUGAAAGAUGACAUUCCACCGUUCUUCCGAGCUCAUGUCGCUAAAUUGGGACAACCGAUGGAACAUAUCAGCAUAGCGCAUACGGCUCGCAAGGCGCUGAAAAAGUGCAAGACACGAAUGGAAAAGGGCAACUUGACACAGCGCCACGCAUCCCAAGUUGAAGAAAGGAUUAAUAAGAUCAAAGAUUCUCUGGGAAGUGAAUACGUCGAACCGGUGGACGGAAUCGAAACUUACAUUGAUGAAUUCUUGGUGAAGAAAAGUGACCGUCGCCCAGACCGUGCGCCUAACCAGAUGGGACGACGCGGCAUACGAAACCAACAGCUGCGGGAUAAUCUCGCCGACGUGCAGCGUCGAUUGGCAGAUGACCCUGAUAAUCGAAGGCUGCGACUGGAAGAAAAUGAUGCGCGCCAUCGACUAGAGGCGGUUAAGCGCAGUCGCCAAGGGAAGGGUCGUGGCCAGCGCGAAGUUGAUCCGACAAAGGUCAUGGAAGUUGACUCGACGGAACCAGUUGACCGAACUUCCGAUCGAAACCAACCGGAAAGCGCUAAGAAACGCCCGCCGAGAGAUGGCGAGGGCGAUUCAAAUGAAAUGGAAUAGUGUUGACCUUUAGGAUCACACUAUUGAAAGGACGUCUACGGCAUUUGUCGCGUUUAUAGCACAGAAUUGCCUAAAAGAAAUCAUGUGGAAUAUCUAUUGGGGUUGAAAUUGAUUCGGUCUAUAAAGCCGGCCCCAAGGGAGUUGCUACGGCAGUUAGCCGGCCCUCCUCUCUAAGCGACUCAGUGUUAUAAAUGCACAAGAGAAACUACGGUAAUCAAGCCGGAUCUCUUGAAUACGAAACGGGGCCACAAGCGGCGAAAAAGAGAAAGACAACAGGUGGAAUAUUGAUGAGGUUAACUUAAUGCGGCAAUUAGCCGGCCUCAUUAGAGUUGUUACGGUAAACUAUGCCGGCACUCUUUUCAAGCGAUUCAGUGUUAUAAUUAAAACGAGAAAAACUACGGUAAUCAAGCCGGAUUUCUCGUACUAACGUAAGCCACAAGCGGCGAACAAGAGUAAAAGAUUUAAGAUGGAAAUUUCAUGGGGUAAACUUAAUGCGGUAACUAGCCGGCCCCAUCAGAGAUGCUACGGUAAACUUGCCGGCACUCUGGCCGCUCGAGGCAUAUUGAAGUUGGAUGUGCGACGGAAAGGUCAAACUGCAAAUUUUACCAGGAAGGCAAGCAAAGAAGUGCUUGAAGCCGCAGAAAAUCGGCUAAGUCCCUCCAUGACCUUUAACAGAAGUUUUGACGAGUGGGAUGACCUUUGGGAUCAUCAAUUGCCCAAUAGAGUCACCGUAUCGGAAUUCAAGUCGCAUGACCUUUGGGACCAUUAACCCAAAACGAGUCGCACAUCUCAACGGAUCAUCUCAACAAAGGAUGACCUUUACCAGGGAGGAAGCGAACUACGCUUGUCUUCAUUGACGUCCCUCCAUGACCUUUAUUGGAUCUCAUUUUGAAGUCGUACGAAUGAUACGCACCAUAUUCCAAAGAUUGAAGCAGUACUCCUAAGUCGUACUUGAUACGCACCUGAUUCUCAAGCGGAUUGUGAUGAAAAGUCGCACUACGGAUGCGCGGACUUGCUCAACAGAGCGGAAUGGGCCAAAGUGCAGAAAACGGUGGACAGGACCUGUGACCUUUGCGAGUCAGAAAUGGAGGAUCCUAGUCUACAAUUUGAUUAAUACUUUUGUUGAUCUGUUAUUGUUGAUCUGUUCCUAAUGAUUUGAUAGUAUUUUUAUAAUUGGAUCUCUUUAUUUCACAUUGUAUUAAACAGAAUUGUGCCUUUACGGAAUUGAUGUGAUAACAUGGACUAAGAGAAUUUGAUGUUCUUGAGCACGCACAGACACCGGCGACCGUCGUUUUCGUGGAUUUGGGAGUGUGUCCAGCCUCACAGGAGCUCGGCAUCCCCCCAGAGGCAUGUGAGCGGGGUUCACUAGCGUUCACGUCCGCAACGCUACGCCACUGGAUUACGUGUCUGUGUUGUGUCUCUUCUGAUUGGCUUGAGUUGUGUUAGUGGGCGCGGCAUAGCACGUGCUGCACAGUGUUACACACUGUUGAAUGGGCUCCACGCUUUACGAUCGAGCUGCGCCGAUCAUUAUUGAUUUUCUGUUGUCGGAAUUUUCAAUUAAUUAAAAGUCAGCUAUUAGCGGUG
Paramacrobiotus metropolitanus is the source of this 4545-nucleotide RNA transcript. RefSeq lists it as uncharacterized. The record is from RefSeq and is a predicted model, not a curated record. Lineage: Eukaryota; Metazoa; Tardigrada; Eutardigrada; Parachela; Macrobiotidae. The transcript has 2 exons.